This is a long non-coding RNA of Psammomys obesus (fat sand rat), 283 nucleotides long. RefSeq lists it as uncharacterized. Lineage: Eukaryota; Metazoa; Chordata; Mammalia; Rodentia; Muridae. The transcript is spliced from 4 exons. The record is from RefSeq and is a predicted model, not a curated record.
UCUGUGUGCUGAGGAGGAGCUGGGAUUAUAUUCUGUUAACUUAUAAAAGAUAUUAGUAAAAGGAUAUCUGUGCACCUCUCCCCUUCUCUAAAAUGCCAUGAUUUGAGUAGUUACUACAUCUUAACUGAUUCAGACCCAUAAGGAAGCCAGAUGAAGAAAGUGGAGAAUGAGAACAUAAGGUGAAGAAAUAACACGUUACCCAAGGUCAUUCAGCAAAUCACCACUGUACUGUACUCUUGUGUGUUUGUGCUGUGUGUACAGGUGGAAUUAGUUGAAUUCUGGG